Molecule: ribosomal RNA, 301 nt
Filed under: uncultured bacterium
Lineage: Bacteria
Description: partial 16S ribosomal RNA
Rfam family: Bacterial small subunit ribosomal RNA
Source: RNAcentral
CAGUAGCCGCGGGAACACGAAGGGUGCUAGCGUUGCUCGGAAUGACUGGGCGUAAAGGGCGCGUAGGCGGUUUUGACAGUCAGAUGUGAAAUUCCUGGGCUUAACCUGGGGGCUGCAUUUGAGACGUCAAGACUAGAGUGUGAGAGAGGGUUGUGGAAUUCCCAGUGUAGAGGUGAAAUUCGUAGAUAUUGGGAAGAACACCGGUGGCGAAGGCGGCAACCUGGCUCAUUACUGACGCUGAGGCGCGAAAGCGUGGGGAGCAAACAGGAUUAGAUACCCCCGUAGUCCCUGUUUCUUAUAC